GUCUUCCCAAAAGGCAUAUUUUUUUCAGUGUUGGACAUGCAGCACAAAUAAGAGUUUGCAUCCCGAUCUUUCCCAUAAAGCAUCACACAAUGCAUAUUACUAAUGUGGUCUCAAUAUAACACAUAUUUCAAUGACUUCAAAAUAUUACUUUAGUGGAUAUAAUUUAGAUCAGCAUUCAAAAAUAAUUAUGGGAUAUUUAAGUUGCCUCUAAUUCACUUCUGUUAUCAAUAAUACCUCUUUUCUGUUACCCUUUUCCCUAGUAUUUAAUUAUUUCCUUAGAAUAAACCUCCAACAGUAGAAUUAUUAGGUCAAAAGAGCUGAAAAGUUGAUGAAAUGGUUGGUUGUUACCUCUUCUGAUUAAUUUAUUUUAAAUCACAGUCUUCUUCCCUUGUUUAAAGCAGACUAACUUAGUGGCUCACUAACUUGCUAAUUAACUAGCUUGGUGUUCCAGGUUCCCAGUGCGUCCUAUUCACAUCCAGCUGGUUCAUGAUACCCUUGUCUUUUCUCCUUCCUGGCAAUGAUCCUCUGGUUUGUAGUUCUUUACACACAUAAGCUACAGGGAUAACUUUUUGCCCUGCAGCUUGAUCACUUCAGGGAUCCUGUCUCUGGCAUCAAGGAAUUCCCCAUCUGCAGAGCCUCUGUGAGACACAGCCUCAGUGGGUAGGAAAGAGGUGACUGAUGGGCCAGGCAAGGGCUGAGCUCCUGGCUAUCAGCUCCUUCUUUCUCUUACUAACUGGGUCUCUGCCAAAGCAUCUUGGGCUCUGCCACCAACCUAUCCCAAUGGCUCUUACCAUAAUUCAGGCAACCAUGUGAGCGUGGCACAGGCACUUAACCAUGCACCCACUCUGCCUGGAACUGGCAGGGACCUGGGACCCAUGAGGAACCCAUUGGGAACUCAGAUGCAAUCUCUCCUCUCAAGAACUCUGUAGGCUGAAAGAUAAGAAAUAUAUGCUCUAGGAAUAUAGCUGAGAGUUUAUGAUUACACGGAAGCUCAGAAGAGAAGGUUAUCAUCAUAAGCCUGGAGCUGGGAAUAGAAGGACAGAUAGGAAUCGGAGAGACAAAGACAUUCAAAGGACAUUGAGUUUGUAGCAUGAAGAGGUUCGCCAUUCGGUUGAUAAGCAUCUACCACUCCCCAGGCUCUGAGCUGGGUGCCUCGCACCCACAGAUGGGUGGAUAGAUCCCAGGCCUUCAGGAGAUCACACCCCCGUGGGAGAGACAUGCAGGAGAUGGUCACAAUACAGGGAAAUGUGUGCCAUCACAGAGGAACUCCCAGAACACUGUUAAUGCCGUACUCAGAUUUGUCCUGAAAAGAUGAAAGGUGGGACAAAAAAGAAAUCUUCUUUCUGGACCUCGAAGGAGUUGGAGUAUUGUAUGAUGAUCACACAAACAAAAUGUGAGGGUGCAGCUGUGGAGGGGAAAGGGCCUCUCCACCUUCACUCUGAAGACCUAAUUCCAGCUGUGUGACUGUGAUCAGGUUCUUCCAAGUCUCUGGACCUCGGUUUUAUCACAGGUAAAGUGGGGAUCAUAAUAAUUCUGCAACUUUUGGUAGCCCAAAAGAGAAGGAGGUACGAGAGUUACAAUUAUUCUUGUUGUAUAUGAAAGCAUUAUUGAAAACCCUCCAGCCUGGCAUAGAAGAGUGAUUAUUGGCAUGAUGGUUUGAUCCUAGCCACAAUUACCUGCCUCCAUGCUCCAGGCUCAUACCACAAAGGGGGAUGGCUAUAAAUGAGAAGGAUGCAACCUACCACCCACCACAUCUGCUUUCUUUCAUAGUCCUAAGUCCUCCUGAAUUUGAUUAUUAGUUUAUUUUCUCUUUCAGGAAAUUAAAAUGUGUAGCAUACACUAUCCCUAAGGGAUUUUAGAGGGGAUGGCAGGUUAGCCACACGGCCAGGGUUCACCUAUGUGUAACUUCACAGGACAUGGAUUCUAUCAUUUCUCACAAGAAACUGUGGCGAUAGCCAGAGAUGACAGAGGUGCCAGAUGAACCAAGGAGAGAGGGUAACUCAGAGGUGAUGACCUUUGUCCCUUAACUGACACCUCUGAGCUUGGUGGCUUCCACAGAGGUAGACACUUCUGUUUGCAUAUUGCUUUAAAGGGAUUAAAGGAUCUGCAUUCUGGAAGCCUCCUUCCUGGUUCUGCCCCAGGCUCUGAGCUCAUGCCCCAUUCAUUCCAUUGUAAUGAGAUGAACUCACAUUCCUUGGGAAUUUACUCUAUGCCAGGAAUUAUACUCUACCUUUUUUACACUGCCACACAGCUAUGCUGAUUAUCCCUACUUUACAGAGCAGGAAACUUAGGCAGAAAGUCAGUCAUUCACAGCUAACAAUUUGCUGGGAUUUGAGAGCUGAGUCAAACAGGCUAACUCCAGAGCCCAUACCUGUGACCAUUCUGGAAUUUUACCUCCUUCAAACAGGUAAGCCUGGAAUUCCCACAUCACAAGACAAACCUAAUGGCCUCAAAUCAGGAGUCAAAGCCAGAGGCUGUUCUUAG
This 2484-nucleotide long non-coding RNA is filed under the name Marmota monax (woodchuck). Lineage: Eukaryota; Metazoa; Chordata; Mammalia; Rodentia; Sciuridae. The record is from RNAcentral.